AUGUCCUUUCGAAAGCCACCUCCUCCCACAAACUCCCCUGAUCCCCCUAAAUCAGCCUUAUCAACCGGCUGCUCUCACAUAACUCUGUUCUAUCUUCCUCAGAGCAUCGGGACCCUCAUCACGUUAUUCGUUCAUUCAUUUACUCUCUCUGUCCUCUAUGACCCUUUGUUCACAGGCGUUACUCUAAAAUGUACCCAGGACUCUGGUUUCACUCAGCGAAGGGGAGGUCAACAGGUCAGCAGGCCACCACAGCUGAAGACAAGAUAUUUAUUCAAUCCUGGGACCAGAUUUUUGUUGGAGCACUACUGUUGAAUUAUUAGGGAAAAGUUUCCAAGCAUACUUCUUCACCAAAUAGAGAAGGUAAUAUUAUCUGUGUCUCAUAGGCCCAAAGAUGUAGUAAAAAUAUUUCUUUUCUAGCUCCUUCAGUUUCAUUUCAAUUCAGAGAGUAAACUUUGGAUGGAUACCAGAAAUACUCUUGGUUUAUUUUAUUUAUUUGUUGUUUAUUUAUUUAUUUAUCUAUCUACCUCUAGCCCUUCCCCUCUCCUUAGAAUUCCAGGUCCUAUAUUUUUUAACCAUUUAUGAGAAAGAUGUAUUUAGAGCUUUAUUCUAGAGAAAAAUGCUGGAUUCUUGUUUUCAGAGUUAAACAUCGAAGAGUCCUUCUAGAAUUAUAAUUCCAUUGUAGUUCUGACAUAUUGGCAUGCUGAAAAACAGAACAAGAAGGCUUUUCAUUUUUUCAAGGGUUCACUUAUGUUUCUAAAGUGAAUAAAAAUGGUUUAUGAGAAAGUUAAGGAUUCUAA
RNAcentral lists this long non-coding RNA (797 nucleotides) under Vulpes vulpes (red fox). RNAcentral describes it as "lncRNA (ENSVVUG00000009066.1)". Lineage: Eukaryota; Metazoa; Chordata; Mammalia; Carnivora; Canidae. The record is from RNAcentral.